AUGUUCGGAGACCUGGAGAGGCGGAGACCAAUGAGAAGAGUCAAAAAAGUACAAGGAGGGUUACACCAGUGCAUCUACGCGAAUCGGCGUGAAGGUGAAGACCGGAGCAGGAAACAUGGGUUGCUCAGCCGCAGAAACACAAAGGCCGCGCCCAGCAUGGCCAUUGCUGAGCGUCCUCCUGGAUUGCAUGUACGAGGCGCUAAACAGACAACACAACCAAUCGAAGAUGCAACUGCAGCGGUGCGUUCAAAGCCUCAAGGCGGUGAGGAGGAUGAUGGAGGAGAGCCCUCGGUGAUGUGCGCUGGGGGCUAG
Molecule: ribosomal RNA, 312 nt
Filed under: Triticum aestivum (bread wheat)
Lineage: Eukaryota; Viridiplantae; Streptophyta; Magnoliopsida; Poales; Poaceae
Description: partial small subunit ribosomal RNA
Source: RNAcentral